UGGGGAAUAUUGGACAAUGGGCGAAAGCCUGAUCCAGCCAUGCCGCGUGUGUGAAGAAGGUCUUCGGAUUGUAAAGCACUUUAAGUUGGGAGGAAGGGUUGUAGAUUAAUACUCUGUAAUUUUGACGUUACCGACAGAAUAAGCACCGGCUAACUCUGUGCCAGCAGCCGCGGUAAUACAGAGGGUGCAAGCGUUAAUCGGAAUUACUGGGCGUAAAGCGCGCGUAGGUGGUUUGUUAAGUUGGAUGUGAAAUCCCCGGGCUCAACCUGGGAACUGCAUCCAAAACUGGCAAGCUAGAGUAUGGUAGAGGGUGGUGGAAUUUCCUGUGUAGCGGUGAAAUGCGUAGAUAUAGGAAGGAACACCAGUGGCGAAGGCGACCACCUGGACUGAUACUGACACUGAGGUGCGAAAGCGUGGGGAGCAAACAGGAUUAGAUACCCCCGUAGUCCCUGAGCGGGCUGGCAAGGCGCAU
RNAcentral lists this ribosomal RNA (472 nucleotides) under uncultured bacterium. Its description in RNAcentral is "bacterial SSU rRNA". It matches the Rfam family "Bacterial small subunit ribosomal RNA", at positions 355 to 825 of the family's 1533-position model. The record is from RNAcentral.